This 374-nucleotide ribosomal RNA is filed under the name uncultured bacterium. Its description in RNAcentral is "bacterial SSU rRNA". It matches the Rfam family "Bacterial small subunit ribosomal RNA", at positions 521 to 896 of the family's 1533-position model. The record is from RNAcentral.
UAAUACGGAGGGUGCGAGCGUUGUCCGGAUUUAUUGGGUUUAAAGGGUGCGUAGGUGGCUUUAUAAGUCAGUGGUGAAAUACAGCCGCUCAACGGUUGAGGUGCCAUUGAUACUGUAGAGCUUGAAACAAGUGGAGGCUGCCGGAAUGGAUGGUGUAGCGGUGAAAUGCAUAGAUAUCAUCCAGAACACCGAUUGCGAAGGCAGGUGGCUACGUUUGAUUUGACACUGAGGCACGAAAGCAUGGGGAGCAAACAGGAUUAGAUACCCUGGUAGUCCAUGCCGUAAACGAUGAGGACUCGCUGUUGGGCUGUCAAGGUUCAGCGGCUUAGGGAAACCGUUAAGUCCUCCACCUGGGGAGUACGCCGGCAACGGUG